This 484-nucleotide ribosomal RNA is filed under the name uncultured bacterium. RNAcentral's name for it is "partial 16S ribosomal RNA". It matches the Rfam family "Bacterial small subunit ribosomal RNA", at positions 30 to 507 of the family's 1533-position model. The record is from RNAcentral.
AUUGAACGCUGGCGGCAGGCCUAACACAUGCAAGUCGAGCGGAUGAAGGGAGCUUGCUCCUGGAUUCAGCGGCGGACGGGUGAGUAAUGCCUAGGAAUCUGCCUGGUAGUGGGGGAUAACGUCCGGAAACGGGCGCUAAUACCGCAUACGUCCUGAGGGAGAAAGUGGGGGAUCUUCGGACCUCACGCUAUCAGAUGAGCCUAGGUCGGAUUAGCUAGUUGGUGGGGUAAAGGCCUACCAAGGCGACGAUCCGUAACUGGUCUGAGAGGAUGAUCAGUCACACUGGAACUGAGACACGGUCCAGACUCCUACGGGAGGCAGCAGUGGGGAAUAUUGGACAAUGGGCGAAAGCCUGAUCCAGCCAUGCCGCGUGUGUGAAGAAGGUCUUCGGAUUGUAAAGCACUCUAAGUUGGGAGGAAGGGCAGUAAGUUAAUACCUUGCUGUUUUGACGGUACCAACAGAAUAAGCACCGGCUAACUUCGUG